UCAAAAAAUAAAAAAUUAGGACCCAGGAAGGUCCGUGGCAGGUGUUGACACAAUGUGAUUUCUGCUCAGUGCUCUGAAUGUCAAAGUGAAGAAAUUCAAUCAACUGUAGGGUAAACAACGGGAAUCACUAUGACUCUCUUAAGGUAGCUAAAUGCUUCCCCAUCUAAUUAGUGACACUUGUGAAUGGAUGAAUGAGA
RNAcentral lists this non-coding RNA (197 nucleotides) under Tupaia belangeri chinensis (Chinese tree shrew). Its description in RNAcentral is "Tupaia chinensis (Chinese tree shrew) Eukaryotic large subunit ribosomal RNA". It matches the Rfam family "Eukaryotic large subunit ribosomal RNA", at positions 2141 to 2332 of the family's 3401-position model. Lineage: Eukaryota; Metazoa; Chordata; Mammalia; Scandentia; Tupaiidae. The record is from Rfam by way of RNAcentral.